UACGUAGGGUGCAAGCGUUAAUCGGAAUUACUGGGCGUAAAGCGUGCGCAGGCGGCUUUGCAAGACAGAUGUGAAAUCCCCGGGCUUAACCUGGGAACUGCAUUUGUGACUGCAUGGCUGGAGUGCGGCAGAGGGGGAUGGAAUUCCGCGUGUAGCAGUGAAAUGCGUAGAUAUGCGGAGGAACACCGAUGGCGAAGGCGGCGAUCUGGGUGGUGACUGACGCUGAGGCGCGAAAGCGUGGGGAGCAAACAGG
RNAcentral lists this ribosomal RNA (253 nucleotides) under uncultured bacterium. RNAcentral's name for it is "partial 16S ribosomal RNA". It matches the Rfam family "Bacterial small subunit ribosomal RNA", at positions 524 to 776 of the family's 1533-position model. The record is from RNAcentral.